This is a long non-coding RNA of Myotis lucifugus (little brown bat), 1121 nucleotides long. RefSeq lists it as uncharacterized. Lineage: Eukaryota; Metazoa; Chordata; Mammalia; Chiroptera; Vespertilionidae. The transcript has 2 exons. The record is from RefSeq and is a predicted model, not a curated record.
UUCUUCUCCAGUGAAUCCUUUUUGGCGAUGGAUGCCAGUCGAUUGCGUUUUAUAGCCGGUAAACGAGAUAAAGCAUAAAAAACACACAAACGGACACAGGAAGCUCUAAGCUGCAGUUUCCUAAGAGGCCCCGCCAGAUCCUUCCUAGUUCCUGGGAGCGGGACCCCUCGAGCCCCGUGCCGGCCUCGGCACCACGCCCGCCUCCCUGGGAAACGCGCGCAUUCAAACCGAGUUAGAACAGCUUCCAGCCGAGCACGGGAGGGUCCGGGGGAAGACGAAUCUGGGGCCUGGACCGUCCAGUCUGGGGGUCGGACAUUGUGAAUCCCUGGGGGAGGAAUGUGACGUCAGGCCUCACCGGCCGCCAUGGAAGAUGCCCACGCAGCUCCGCCUCCGAUGUCCUGCCAACCAGGCCCCUUCUUACCAGUUGGGUUUUAACAGUCAAGUUCUCAUUUAGAGUCAGAUGGACUGUGUGAAGAUGAAUGAACGGACCUCCUUUAGGUGGGAACGGGAGAGCCCGUGGGAGAGAUGUUACCCCGAACCGGAAGGUGCCCCCUCCUCUCCCCGGGAGGCACGGCCUACUGCACUGCCCAGCAGGAGGGGGGCUCCUCCAGGAACCACGAUGGUCACCACCCUCCUAACGCAGUUUCCUCCGGUGCAUCCUUUGUUGGCAGCCCCGCUGCCCGCAGCCUCGCCUCUAAAAGAACGUGCCUUUCCAUUGGUCUCUGGACUGAACCCCGGUUCACCUGCCUUUGGACUGAAUGUCCUGAUUUAUUGUUCCCAAUAAACCCCUUUGCUGGAGAAAUAGCUGGCGGCUUAAGAGAGGAAGAGGAAAAGAGAGAGAGAGAGAAAUCAAUGAUGAGAGAGCAUCAUUGAUUAGCCGCCUCCUGCACACCGGCCACUGGGGAUCGAGUCCACAACACAGGCCUGUACCCUGACCGAGAAUCGAACUGUGACCUGAUUCGUAGGCCAACGCUCAACCGCGGAGCCGUGCUGGUCGGGCAAGUGUGAGUUCUUGUUGGAGAUGGCAGGGAACGCUGAACUGAGACCUUAGAGGGCCCAAUGCUGCAAAUGUGGGGUGCCCCCUCCCACAAAGUCCCAAUAAACUCCGCUACGGAAUGAGC